GACGAACGCUGGCGGCGUGCUUAACACAUGCAAGUCGAACGGAAAGGCCCUGCUUUUGUGGGGUGCUCGAGUGGCGAACGGGUGAGUAACACGUGAGUAACCUGCCCUUGACUUUGGGAUAACUUCAGGAAACUGGGGCUAAUACCGGAUAGGAGCUCCUGCUGCAUGGUGGGGGUUGGAAAGUUUCGGCGGUUGGGGAUGGACUCGCGGCUUAUCAGCUUGUUGGUGGGGUAGUGGCUUACCAAGGCUUUGACGGGUAGCCGGCCUGGGAGGGUGACCGGACACAUUGGGACUGAGAUACGGCCCAGACUACAAUGGGAGGCAGCGGUGGGGAAGAGUGCACAAUGGGAGGAAGCCUGAUGCAGCAAAGCCGCGUGCGGGAUGACGGCCUUCGGGUUGUAAACCGCUUUCGCCUGUGACGAAGCGUGAGUGACGGUAAUGGGUAAAGAAGCACCGGCUAACUACGUG
Molecule: ribosomal RNA, 468 nt
Filed under: uncultured bacterium
Lineage: Bacteria
Description: partial 16S ribosomal RNA
Rfam family: Bacterial small subunit ribosomal RNA
Source: RNAcentral